RNAcentral lists this ribosomal RNA (497 nucleotides) under uncultured bacterium. Its description in RNAcentral is "partial 16S ribosomal RNA". It matches the Rfam family "Bacterial small subunit ribosomal RNA", at positions 28 to 507 of the family's 1533-position model. The record is from RNAcentral.
GAUGAACGCUGGCGGCGUGCCUAAUACAUGCAAGGCGAGCGAACAGACGAGGAGCUUGCUCCUCUGACGUUAGCGGCGGACGGGUGAGUAACACGUGGAUAACCUACCGAUAAGACUGGGAUAACUUCGGGAAACCGGAGCUAAUACCGGAUAAUAUAUUGAACUGCAUGGUUCAAUAGUGAAAUACGGUUUUGCUGUCACUUAUAGAUGGAUCCGCGCCGCAUUAGCUAGUUGGUAAGGUAACGGCUUACCAAGGCAACGAUGCGUAGCCGACCUGAGAGGGUGAUCGGCCACACUGGACCUGAGACACGGUCCAGACUCCUACGGGCGCCCGCAGCAGGCACGCUUCCGCACCGAGCGAAAGCCUGAUGCAGCCACACCGCGGGCGUAAUGAAGAUCUUCGGACCGUAAACAUCUGUUCCAACGCACCAAACACUGUGUAAGUAACUAUGCAUAGCUUGACCGUACCAAAUAAGACAGACACGGAUAACUACAUG